GAUGAACGCUGGCGGCGUGCCUAAUACAUGCAAGUCGAGCGAACGGACGAGAAGCUUGCUUCUCUGAUGUUAGCGGCGGACGGGUGAGUAACACGUGGAUAACCUACCUUUAAGACUGGGAUAACUUCGGGAAACCGGAGCUAAUACCGGAUGAUAUUUUGAACCGCAUGGUUCAAAAGUGAAAGACGGUCUUGCUGUCACUUAUAGAUGGAUCCGCGCUGCAUUAGCUAGUUGGUAAGGUAACGGCUUACCAAGGCAACGAUGCAUAGCCGACCUGAGAGGGUGAUCGGCCACACUGGAACUGAGACACGGUCCAGACUCCUACGGGAGGCAGCAGUAGGGAAUCUUCCGCAAUGGGCGAAAGCCUGACGGGGCAACGCCGCGUGAGUGAUGAAGGUCUUCGGAUCGUAAAACUCUGUUAUUAGGGAAGAACAUAUGUGUAAGUAACUGUGCACAUCUUGACGGUACCUAAUCAGAAAGCCACGGCUAACUACGUG
This 497-nucleotide ribosomal RNA is filed under the name uncultured bacterium. Its description in RNAcentral is "partial 16S ribosomal RNA". It matches the Rfam family "Bacterial small subunit ribosomal RNA", at positions 28 to 507 of the family's 1533-position model. The record is from RNAcentral.